RNAcentral lists this ribosomal RNA (507 nucleotides) under uncultured cyanobacterium. RNAcentral describes it as "bacterial SSU rRNA". It matches the Rfam family "Bacterial small subunit ribosomal RNA", at positions 368 to 876 of the family's 1533-position model. Lineage: Bacteria; Bacillati; Cyanobacteriota. The record is from RNAcentral.
CCAAUGGGCGAAANCUGACGGAGCAANACCGCGUGGGGGAAGAAGGCUCUUGGGUUGUAAACCCCUUUUCUCUGGGAAGAAANUUGUGAAAGCAACCUGAACGGUACCNGACGGAAUCAGCAUCGGCUAACUCCGUGCCAGCAGCCGCGGUAAGACGGANGAUGCAAGCGUUAUCCGGAAUGAUUGGGCGUAAAGCGUCCGCAGGUGGCAGUUCAAGUCUGCUGUCAAAGACCGGGGCUUAACUUCGGAAAGGCAGUGGAAACUGAACAGCUAGAGUAUGGUAGGGGCAGAGGGAAUUCCUGGUGUAGCGGUGAAAUGCGUAGAGAUCAGGAAGAACAUCCGUGGCGAAGGCGCUCUGCUGGACCAUAACUGACACUCAGGGACGAAAGCUAGGGGAGCGAAUGGGAUUAGAUACCCCAGUAGUCCUAGCCGUAAACGAUGGAUACUAGGUGUUGUCUGUAUCGACCCGGACAGUGCCGUAGCUAACGCGUUAAGUAUCCCGCCUGG